This is a non-coding RNA of Zootermopsis nevadensis, 386 nucleotides long. The record is from RefSeq and is a predicted model, not a curated record. NCBI's taxonomy places the organism in Eukaryota, Metazoa, Arthropoda, Insecta, Blattodea, Termopsidae.
UGCUAAAGCAACUGUACGUGCCUCCAACAGUCUGGCAUCCAGAGGAGGAUACAUACUGCGCACUACAUCAUCCACACGUGGAGAUAUACGACGUGCAACCUUUUAAUAGACAGAAAAUUAUGACACACAAAGAAAAAAUGCAGUAAUCCACGGAGCAUAAUAUACAAGUAAAACAAAGGAUAUGACAGAGGUUUGGACAUAUACUGAUAAAUCAAGACUGUACUGUAAUAUCAGAAGCCCUGGAUGGAGUCCACAAGGCACAACUAUGAUUCAGAAUUAAAAUUAAAGAAAGGAAAGUGCUGCAAACAGGUACUAUGUGAUGCAUCUGUAUAAUUGUACCCACCUCAUAUCUCGACAUUGUUUGUUUAUAAAAUUUCCACUGCCUU